AGGCUUUGGUUUCUCUUCAGAACGAAUACAUCUUUUGCCUUUUACUGCAGAUUUCCGUGGAGAGUAACAGCUGUUAGUAACUUUUUUUUUUUUUUUU
This is a non-coding RNA of Macaca mulatta (Rhesus monkey), 97 nucleotides long. NCBI's taxonomy places the organism in Eukaryota, Metazoa, Chordata, Mammalia, Primates, Cercopithecidae. The record is from Rfam.